This 271-nucleotide long non-coding RNA is filed under the name Ananas comosus (pineapple). Its description in RNAcentral is "long non-coding RNA (ACOM_LNC026661)". Lineage: Eukaryota; Viridiplantae; Streptophyta; Magnoliopsida; Poales; Bromeliaceae. The record is from RNAcentral.
UUUGCAAAGGUCCAGUGUGCUACAGUUCGUGAACUGAUUGGAGUUGAUGUUUUCCGAUGAUGCGCAAUUGGAGAUUUAUGAAUAUUUCAUAUUUGGAUUUAUACAUUGUGGUUUUCUACCCCUCGAGAUAGUCGGUUUUCAAAAUAGAGUUUUCGAGUGGGAAACAGUUUUAAAAGGUUUUCUAAUGGUUUUAUGGCUGAUUAUAUAGAGUUUGAAAACAAAGCUUCCGGGUGGGGAGCGCUGUUAAAUAGUAUGACUGUUGUACUGUGAA